RNAcentral lists this ribosomal RNA (200 nucleotides) under uncultured bacterium. Its description in RNAcentral is "partial 16S ribosomal RNA". It matches the Rfam family "Bacterial small subunit ribosomal RNA", at positions 30 to 230 of the family's 1533-position model. The record is from RNAcentral.
AUUGAACGCUGGCGGCAUGCCUUACACAUGCAAGUCAAACGGCAGCACGGGAGCAAUCCUGGUGGCGAGUGGCGAACGGGUGAGUAAUACAUCGGAACGUGCCCAGUUGUGGGGGAUAGCCCGGCGAAAGCCGGAUUAAUACCGCAUACGACCUACGGGUGAAAGCGGGGGAUCGCAAGACCUCGCGCAAUUGGAGCGGC